Piliocolobus tephrosceles (Ugandan red Colobus) is the source of this 1298-nucleotide RNA transcript. It is a transcript of the gene named dynein light chain roadblock-type 2, with no coding region annotated. The transcript is spliced from 4 exons. Lineage: Eukaryota; Metazoa; Chordata; Mammalia; Primates; Cercopithecidae. The record is from RefSeq and is a predicted model, not a curated record.
GGUGGUGAAUCAGCAGUUCUUGAACGAAUGAGUGGCUAUUACAUUAACUCGUGCCUCAACGAAUGAAUGAAUGGACGAACACAGACCGAGGGCCUGACCCACUUCCCUCUUCCCUCCCCGGCCCCACCGCCCCAGGCUUGGGCGAACCUCAGGUGAGCGCCUGCUCGCCGCUUCCGCGAACCUUCGCCUACGGCGGCCGGAAGGCAUCAGGAGCACGGUCAGGGCGGAAAAGCCGGUCCGCGAGCACGCAGGCGCGGCCCUGAAGCUUCCGGGGGCCACUUCCUCCUUUGUCUCCUAGCUACGGCUGGUAGCGUUGUUGACAUCCCCGGAGUCUGUGCCGCCAGCCUGAGCCCAGAGUUUCGCGGCCUCCGCGAUGGCAGAGGUGGAAGAAACCUUAAAGAGGAUCCAGAGCCAUAAAGGGGUUAUUGGAACUAUGGUUGUAAAUGCAGAAGGGAAGAAGACUAACACCAUGUCACAGAUCAAGCACUUCAAAGCAGACUCACUGUAGACAAGAUGUUCGGGGGAGUGCAUUUCAUCUAAAAAUAUGUUAACUUAGUACUCAAGUAGUCAGUUAACAGCUUCUGAAAGAUUUAUGCACAAAAACGUUCAUCAUCACACCAUUAGCUAUAAAAAAUAAAAGGUACAAAAUGACCAAACAAUAGGAGAUGGAUUGUAUUAUAUGUCCAUAAAAUAGUAAAGUAUGCAGUUAUUAAAAAUAAUGUUGAUGACACUGUCAACAAGGACAACUCGUAUUUUAUAAUUUUAAUGAAGAAAAAAGCAACAGUCAAAUUUGUAAAUAUAGUGUCACACAACUAUACUUGAAAAUCUACAUAGAGACAAAAAGUUUGGAGGGAAAUAAACUAAAACUGUUACCAGAGAGUGAUAAGCCAUAACUUUUUCCUCCUCUUUACAAUUAUCAGUGUUUUCCAGUACUUCCACAAUGUACAUAUUACUUUUCUAGUCAGAAAAUUAUUAACCAAAAUUAAAUUUCAUAAUAGGUAUACCCAUCCGAACAACCUUGGACAACUCAACAACUGUUCAAUAUGCAGGCCUUCUUCAUCACCUGACAAUGAAAGCCAAAAGCACAGUUCGUGAUAUUGAUCCUCAGAACGACCUGACUUUUCUUAGGAUCAGAUCAAAGAAACAUGAAAUCAUGGUAGCUCCAGAUAAGGAAUAUCUUCUGAUCGUCAUUCAGAAUCCAUGUGAAUAGACCUGUGAUGGCCAAGGCUGUCUAAGCGACACUGGGUUAGAAACACUUGGCUCUCAUGAUUAUUAAAAUUCUAUUUCAAUCUAACUGA